UUGCAAUCUUAUCUACGCUAGAUAUAACUAUAGUUAAGAAGAAAGAAAACUUCAAAAGAUAAGUAAUCGCCAUGAAUACUGAUAAUAUUCUU
The submitters of this non-coding RNA (92 nucleotides) gave its source as unclassified sequences. The record is from Rfam.